RNAcentral lists this ribosomal RNA (487 nucleotides) under uncultured bacterium. Its description in RNAcentral is "partial 16S ribosomal RNA". It matches the Rfam family "Bacterial small subunit ribosomal RNA", at positions 28 to 507 of the family's 1533-position model. The record is from RNAcentral.
GAUGAACGCUCGCGAUAGGCUUAACACAUGCAAGUCGAGGGGCAGCACAAGGUAGCUUGCUAUCUGGGUGGCGACCGGCGCACGGGUGCGUAACGCGUAUGCAACUUGCCCUAUACAGGAGGAUAACCCGUCGAAAGACGGACUAAUACUGCGUAUGCUCACAACUUGGCAUCAAGUGGUGAGGAAAGAAAUUCGGUAUAGGAUAGGCAUGCGUCCCAUUAGCUUGUUGGUGAGGUAACGGCUCACCAAGGCAACGAUGGGUAGGGGAACUGAGAGGUUUAUCCCCCACACUGGUACUGAGACACGGACCAGACUCCUACGGGAGGCAGCAGUGAGGAAUAUUGGGCAAUGGGCGCGAGCCUGAACCAGCCAAGUCGCGUGAAGGAGGACUGUCUUAUGGAUUGUAAACUUCUUUUAUACGGGAAUAACAAGAGUCACGUGUGACUCCCUGCAUGUACCGUAUGAAUAAGCAUCGGCUAACUCCGUG